CCGGCUAACUCCGUGCCAGCAGCCGCGGUAAUACGGAGGGUGCAAGCGUUAAUCGGAAUUACUGGGCGUAAAGCGCACGCAGGCGGUCUGUCAAGUCGGAUGUGAAAUCCCCGGGCUUAACCUGGGAACUGCAUUCGAAACUGGCAGGCUAGAGUCUUGUAGAGGGGGGUAGAAUUCCAGGUGUAGCGGUGAAAUGCGUAGAGAUCUGGAGGAAUACCGGUGGCGAAGGCGGCCCCCUGGACAAAGACUGACGCUCAGGUGCGAAAGCGUGGGGAGCAAACAGGAUUAGAUACC
Molecule: ribosomal RNA, 294 nt
Filed under: Mycobacterium tuberculosis
Lineage: Bacteria; Bacillati; Actinomycetota; Actinomycetes; Mycobacteriales; Mycobacteriaceae
Description: partial 16S ribosomal RNA
Rfam family: Bacterial small subunit ribosomal RNA
Source: RNAcentral